The sequence is a ribosomal RNA, 706 nucleotides long. It matches the Rfam family "Bacterial small subunit ribosomal RNA", at positions 216 to 926 of the family's 1533-position model.
UGCUUAAAGAGGGGCUUGCGCCACAUUAGUUAGNUGGUAAGGUAAAGGCUUACCAAGACGAUGAUGUGUAGCUGGACUGAGAGGUUGAACAGCCACAUUGGNACUGAGACACGGCCCAAACUCCUACGGGAGGCAGCAGUAAGGAAUUUUUGGCAAUGGAGGAAACUCUGACCGAGCGACGCCGCGNGAACAAUGAAGUACUUCGGUAUGUAAAGUUCUUUUAUUGAAAAAGAAAAAAUAGUGGAAAAACUAUCUUGACAUUAUUCAAUGAAUAAGCCCCGGCUAAUUAUGUGCCAGCAGCCGCGGUAAUACAUAAGGGGCGAGCGUUAUCCGGAAUUAUUGGGCGUAAAGGGUGCGUAGGNGGUUUGAUAAGUCUAUAGUUUAAUUGCAGUGCUUAACGCUGUACCGCUAUAGAAACUGUCUGACUAGAGUUAGAUAGAGGCAAGCGGAAUUCCAUGUGUAGCGNUAAAAUGCGUAAAUAUAUGGAGGAACACCAGAGGCGUAGGCGGCUUGCUGGGUCUUAACUGACGCUGAGGCACGAAAGCGUGGGGAGCAAACAGGAUUAGAUACCCUGGUAGUCCACGCCGUAAACGAUGAGUACUAAGUGUCGGGUUUUGGCUCGGUACUGAAGUUAACACAUUAAGUACUCCGCCUGAGUAGUACGUACGCAAGUAUGAAACUUAAAGGNAUUGACGGGACCCCGCAC